CCGCCGAAGCCAAGCUCACCUGCAGCUGCACCUGCGCCCGUCGCCGUCGCCGCCGCCGCCGCCGCCGCCUCCUCAGCCGCCGCCGCCGCCUCGCUGAGGCCCAGUCCCCGGGGAGCCUCCGCGUCCCGCCGCCGCCGCCACCGCCGCCGCCGGAGCCGGACACCCCAAAAUGGCGGCACUUCCGGCGCCUACCACCGGGAGACGAGGGAGGGGUGCGGUGGAAGGAAUGAACCACCGCGGCGCCGCCCUGAACUCCGUACACCCCCGCGCGGGGCUGAAUGGAAGGGGCGGGGGUGGAGGGAGAGGAAGAGCGCGGCAGCUCCCCCUGGGGUGGGGGAGUGGAGAGGCGUCCCUCGGAUAGGGGGCUGGACCACUGGAAGACAGGGAGCUCGGUCUUCAAAGAGGGGGGUCACCGAGCCGCGCAAAACUCAAAGCGGGUCUUGGUUGGACUGGACAGAGGUGCAAACUGCGGUUGAGUGGGACUCUCCGACCAGUGGCAGUCCGACCUCGGCUUGCCCACUUUCGGUGAUGGGGAACUCACUCUCUAGUGCGACAAGUCCGUGCAUUUUUCUAAGUGCAAUAGCAGCCUAUAAGCCUAGUCAGGCAAAACAAUUCCCACACGUGUCUCCUGCUUUUUAAGUCCAUCACUAGUGCGAGGUACGAGAGCCGGAAGCACCGCUAUAACUUUAAGAAGUUCCUUCUUCCCCGAGCUGGAAAUAAUGGAAGUGGAGCCCACAUUACAAGUCACGGGACUACCUCAAAAAGAAAUUGAAUCUUAGGACCAUAGAUCUGGAAUUGGAAGGGACCCACUGGCCAACUAGUUAGCCUCUCCCCCCUGUCUCCCAUAUUGAUGGAGAAAUGAAUGUCCACAGAGGUGAUAUGACUCCUCCAAGAUAACACAGGUCAAGAGCCAUUUCUAGGAAAAGCCCUCCUCAUCACAUCAGCUGCUAGGAUUGUUGUUUUAUGCCUUUCAUUCUGGAGGAUGACUAUGACAUCUGGGAGGUGAUGCUGCUAGGAAGAAAGCUUUUGAGGAGUGAUUCUUUGUACUUUUUAUCUCUAGUACCCAAAAGAUAUUUAAUAAAUGCUCAUUGACUGAUUCCUUUACCU
Molecule: long non-coding RNA, 1107 nt
Organism: Sarcophilus harrisii (Tasmanian devil)
Lineage: Eukaryota; Metazoa; Chordata; Mammalia; Dasyuromorphia; Dasyuridae
Exons: 3
Source: RefSeq, a predicted model, not a curated record